AGGAUGAACGCUGGCGGCGUGCCUAAUACAUGCAAGUCGAGCGGUAAGGUCCCUUCGGGGAUACACGAGCGGCGGACGGCUGAGUAACGCGUAGGAACGUACCCCAAAGUGAGGGAUAAGCUCUGGAAACAGAGUCUAAUACCGCAUGUGGUCCAAGGAUUAAAGCUUCGGCGCUUUGGGAACGGCCUGCGUCCGAUUAGCUAGUUGGUGAGGUAAAGGCUUACCAAGGCGACGAUCGGUAGCUGGUCUGAGAGGAUGAUCAGCCAGACUGGGACUGAGACACGGCCCAGACUCCUACGGGAGGCAGCAGUAGGGAAUUUUCCACAAUGGGCGAAAGCCUGAUGGAGCAACGCCGCGUGCAGGAUGAAGGCCUUAGGGUUGUAAACUGCUUUUAUAUGUGACGAUUAUGACGGUAGCAUAUGAAUAAGGAUCGGCUAACUCCGUGCCAGCAGCCGC
This 456-nucleotide ribosomal RNA is filed under the name uncultured bacterium. RNAcentral describes it as "SSU rRNA". It matches the Rfam family "Bacterial small subunit ribosomal RNA", at positions 26 to 518 of the family's 1533-position model. The record is from RNAcentral.